AGAGUUUGAUCCUGGCUCAGAUUGAACGCUGGCGGCAUGCCUUACACAUGCAAGUCGAACGGCAGCACGGGAGCUUGCUCCUGGUGGCGAGUGGCGAACGGGUGAUUAAUACAUCGGAACGUACCCAGUACUGGGGGAUAACGCACCGAAUGGUGCGCUAAUACCGCAUACGACCUAAGGGUGAAAGCGGGGGACCGUAAGGCCUCGCGCUAUUGGAGCGGCCGAUGUCUGAUUAGCUAGUUGGUGAGGUAAAGGCUCACCAAGGCUUCCAUCAUUAGCUGGUCUGAGAGGACGAUCAGCCACUCUGGGACUGAGACACGGCCCACACUCCUACGGGAGGCAGCACUGGGGAAUUUUGGACAAUGGGCGAAAGCCUGAUCCAGCAAUGCCGCGUGUGCGAAGAAGGCCUUCGGGUUGUAAAGCACUUUUGUCAGGGAAGAAAUCUUUUAUGCUAAUACCUUGGAAGGAUGACGGUACCUGAAGAAUAAGCACCGGCUAACUACGUGCCAGCAGCCGCGGUAAUACGUAGGGUGCAAGCGUUAAUCGGAAUUACUGGGCGUAAAGCGUGCGCAGGCGGUUUGUUAAGACAGUCGUGAAAUCCCCGGGCUUAACCUGGGAACUGCGAUUGUGACUGGCAAGCUAGAGUACGGCAGAGGGGGGUGGAAUUCCUGGUGUAGCAGUGAAAUGCGUAGAGAUCAUGAGGAACACCGAUGGCGAACGCAGCCCCCUGGGCUAGUACUGACGCUCAUGCACGAAAGCGUGGGGAGCAAACAUGAUUAAAUACCCUGGUAGUCCACGCCCUAAACGAUGUCAAUUAGUUGUUGGUUCUUUAUUGAAUCAGUAACGUAGCUAACGCGUGAAAUUGACCGCCUGGGGAGUACUGUCGCAGAUUAAAACUCAAAGGAAUUGACGG
RNAcentral lists this ribosomal RNA (913 nucleotides) under uncultured beta proteobacterium. RNAcentral's name for it is "bacterial SSU rRNA". It matches the Rfam family "Bacterial small subunit ribosomal RNA", at positions 8 to 916 of the family's 1533-position model. The record is from RNAcentral. Lineage: Bacteria; Pseudomonadati; Pseudomonadota; Betaproteobacteria.